UACAGGGGGUGCAAACGUUGCUCGGAAUUAUUGGGCGUAAAGCGCGCGUAGGCGGCUAAUUAAGUCGGAUGUGAAAGCCCCUGGCUUAACUGGGGAAGUGCACCCGAAACUGGGUAGCUAGAGUGCAAAAGAGGGUCGCGGAAUUCCCGGUGUAGAGGUGAAAUUCGUAGAUAUCGGGAGGAACACCGGUGGCGAAGGCAGGUCUCUGGGCUGACACUGACGCUCAUGCACGAAAGCGUGGGGAGCAAACAGG
RNAcentral lists this ribosomal RNA (253 nucleotides) under uncultured bacterium. Its description in RNAcentral is "partial 16S ribosomal RNA". It matches the Rfam family "Bacterial small subunit ribosomal RNA", at positions 524 to 776 of the family's 1533-position model. The record is from RNAcentral.